AUACAGAGGAUGCGAGCGUUAAUCGGAAUUACUGGGCGUAAAGCGCGCGUAGGCGGCUUAUUAAGUCAGAUGUGAAAUCCCCGGGCUCAACCUGGGAACUGCAUCUGAUACUGGUAAGCUAGAGUUUUGGAGAGGGAAGUAGAAUUUCAGGUGUAGCGGUGAAAUGCAUAGAGAUCUGAAGGAAUACCAGUGGCGAAGGCGACUUCCUGGCCAAAAACUGACGCUGAGGUGCGAAAGCGUGGGUAGCAAACGGGAUUAGAAACCCCAGUAGUCC
This 274-nucleotide ribosomal RNA is filed under the name uncultured bacterium. RNAcentral describes it as "partial 16S ribosomal RNA". It matches the Rfam family "Bacterial small subunit ribosomal RNA", at positions 523 to 796 of the family's 1533-position model. The record is from RNAcentral.